AGGGCGGGGGGGGUGGCCUAACAUGCAAGUCGAACGAAGCGCCCGCGCGGAUUCCCUCGGGAUGAAGCGCGGAUGACUGUAGUGGCGGACGGGUGAGUCACGCGUGGGCAACCUGCCCCGUGCCGGGGGACAACAGCCGGAAACGGCUGCUAAUACCGCAUGAUCCGGGAGGGCCGCAUGGCCUUCCCGGGAAAGCUCCGGCGGCACGGGAUGGGCCCGCGUCUGAUUAGUUUGUUGGCGGGGUAACGGCCCACCAAGACUGCGAUCAGCAGCCGGCCUGAGAGGGCGGCCGGCCACAUUGGGACUGAGACACGGCCCAGACUCCUGCGGGAGGCAGCAGUGGGGAAUAUUGCACAAUGGGGGAAACCCUGAUGCAGCGACGCCGCGUGGGCGACGAAGCGCUCCGGCGCGUAAAGCCCUGUCAGCAGGGAAGAAAAAAGACAGUACCUGACCAAGAAGCCCCGGCUAACUACGUGCCAGCAGCCGCGGUAAUACGUAGGGGGCAAGCGUUAUCCGGAUUCACUGGGCGUAAAGGGAGCGCAGGCGGCACGGCAAGUCUGGUGUGAAAGCCCGGGGCCCAACCCCGGGACUGCAUUGGAAACUGCCGGGCUGGAGUGCCGGAGGGGUAAGCGGAAUUCCUGGUGUAGCGGUGAAAUGCGCAGAUAUCAGGAAGAACACCGGUGGCGGAGGCGGCUUACUGGACGGCAACUGACGCUGAGGCUCGAAAGCGUGGGGAGCAAACAGGAAUAUAUACCCUGGUAGUCCACGCCGUAAACGAUGAAUACCAGUUGUCGGCGGGUAGGCCCCGCCCGUGCCGCCCCUAACUCACAAAUUAUUCCGCCUGCGCAGC
This 850-nucleotide ribosomal RNA is filed under the name uncultured bacterium. RNAcentral describes it as "bacterial SSU rRNA". It matches the Rfam family "Bacterial small subunit ribosomal RNA", at positions 32 to 881 of the family's 1533-position model. The record is from RNAcentral.